GCGCGUCUAAGCAUUUUGCAAGAACGGUAAACAUUGCAAUCCAUACAAGAGGGAUGAGUAUACGAUUUGGCUUACCCUCGCCACAAAUUAGGUUACAAGAUCCACACAACAUUUAUUCAAAUCAUUCAGAAGGCAGGGUCCGACUACGGACAAGAUAAACAACAAAAGCAAUGUUCUUGCCUCGCUAGGCCCACGAUCACGACCAAAUACGUCUAGUCAUCGGGGUACAUCACGUACAUCCGGCUACUGUCCUCGUCAAACUCCCACUUCAACUGGUUGUCCUCGUAAGCAUCUGCUUCUGCGUUACCUGUACCUGUGGGGUGGUUGUAGUAAUCCGUGAGCCACAAGGAAUAGCAAUCUCAUGACCAUGUCAUCGAAUCUAACUAACUUGUUGGGUAAGGAUGGGGUAUGUGUUUGAGUUUGCAGCAACACUAAGCAUUUAUGGUGGCUAACUUAUGUUGAACAUGAAUUAAAGGUAUAGUGGUCUACGCAUGACGUUCGUUAACUAAGAAUAAUCACUAAGUGAUCCUGAACACCUACUUACGUCAGUCAUAACCCCACCGUGUUCUCGAUCAGAGAAGGAACUCUGAAGGAAACAGUCACGGUUACGCACACAGUUGGCAGGUUUUAAUCAAAUUAGUUUAAGUUGUCCAGAACCGUAUGUUAACAAAGUUUCCAUGUUUGCCACAUAACCGCGGGCACGACUUUCAAAAAAGAAUUUACCCUGCAGGGGUGCUCCAACUAAUCCAUCACAAAUUAUCACAGGCCACAUAGAAAUCCUCGAUCACGAAACUCGCGAUCUCGUCGGAUUCCUUAAUAGGAAAACCUCAACUCUGAGGAAAAACCCAAAGUCUCACCGGAAUCCCAAUGCACAAGAUACAUCGUUAAGGUAAGACAAGUCCAGCAAGACCACCCGACAUGGGGACGACCCCGAUAAGAGCCGCGUAUCUCAAUCUCAGGACACGUCGGAUAAGCACAACGUACGAUGGCCUGAUAGACAUCUCCCGGGUUGCCCUGGGUUUGCCCCGCAAACGGCUCGAGGUUGGACCAACACUCAUGAGGAGCACUGGCCCGGGGGUUGGUUAAGUUUCCUCGGGGUAGCUAUUCCCUAUGCUUUAAUUAUUAAGUUGUUUGCAAAUUAACACCAAAGUUGGGUCUUGCCAGACAAGCCUUAGACUAAACAAUUUACCAAGGGGGUCCCCAUAACAACCCCGAACGUUUUAGGAGCGCUCACUUAUGGAAUAAAAGAACUGUUAGUCGAAACUAAGGCGACAAAAGUGAAACAAAUCACCUAGCAAAAGGCCAGAUCUUCCGCCUUUUACCAAGUAUAUAGNNNCAUUAAUUAAAUAGCAUUUAAUAUAAGAUGAUAAUAAAAUUCCCAUGUUAUCACAUGGACCAGCUUGCACCUGCAACUACCAAUUCUAUCAAGUGGUUGUGUGUAACGACUAAGAUGCGGCCCUUUCCUAUUUUGGGGGCGAGACUUCAAAAGGGAAAGGGGCGCAUCUAAACGUUUCGCAAGCGUGAUAAUCAUAACAUUACAUAACUGAAAGAGUGGCAAGUAGGGCAUACACUUGCCAUCUGAUAAGAGUAUAGCAUUAAGCUUACAACCACACAUUAUUCAGAGCAUAGUUUAGUCCCUCUACGGAGAACAUGAAACAAGUAAAACUAUGACAUCCCGCAUGCUAGCCCCACGAUCACGACCACGGCCUCAGUCCUCUGGAUAGUUCAUGUACAGUAGACCGGAAUCCUCAUCGAACUCCCACGUCAGCUGACUGUCAUCAGGAUCUCCUGCGCCGGGCAUACCUGUACCUGUUGGUGUUUGUAGUAAUCUGUGAGCCACGGGGACUCAUCAAUCGAAUGAUCUUGGUAUCGAAUCUAGCCAAGUUAUUGGGUGAGGAAGGAUAGUGAAUGGGUUUGCAGCAACCUAAGCAUAUAUGGUGGCUACCUUACGAUGAUCAGAGUAAUCAUAUGGUGGUCUACGCGAGCGAUCGAAGACUAGGUUGAUCACUAAGUGAUCCUAAACACCUACUUACGUCAGACAUAACCCCACUACGUUCUCGAUCAGAGAACGAUCUCUGAAAGAGACAGUCACGGUUACGCACACAGUUGGCAGUUUUAUCAGAGUUACUUCAGGUUGUCUAGAACCGGAUGUUAACAAAAUAUCCAUAUUUGCCACAUAACCGCGGGCACGACUUCCCGAAAGAUUUAACCCUGCAGGGGUGCUUCAACUAGUCCAUCACAAACUGCCACAGGCCCCAAAGUAAUCCUCGAUCACGAAACUUGUGAUAUCGUUGAAUUCCUUAGAGGAAAACAUCAACUUUGAGGAGACCCAAAGUUUCACCGGAAUCCCAAUGCGCAAGAUAUAUCGCUAAGAUAAGACAGAUCUGGCAAGAUCUCCCGACGUGUUGACGAACCCGAUAGGAGCCGCGUAUCUCGUUCUCAGGACACGGCGGAUUGUCCAAACUUCCGGUAGGCCAGUCACAGAGUUGCCCCUGGUAGCCACCGGCGGUUGACAGGUUGGACCAACACUCGUGAGGAGCACUGGCCCAGGUUGUUGAUUAAUUCCUUAGGGUAGCUAUUCCCUAUGAAAAUAAUUAUUAGGUUAUUAGCAAAUUGAAAUCAAUGUUGGGUCCUGACAGACAAGCCUUAACACUACACAAUUUAUCAAGGGGGUCCCCAUAACAACCCCGAACGUGGUAGGAGCACUCAGUUAUGGAAUCAAACAUCAGUAACCGAAACUAAGGCGGCAACAACAGAACAAAUCACCCGACAAAUGGCUAGGCCUUCCGUUAUUUACCAAGUAUAUAGGUGCAUUAAUUAAAUAACAGUUUAAACAUAAUGAUAUCAAAAUACCCAUGUUGUCACAUGGGACAGCUGGCACCUGCAACUAGCAAAGCUAUCCGUUAGGGGUUGAGCAAGCCUACUUAGCCAGACAAUAUUUGCUAGGACAGGGAAGUGUUUGGGGUUCAUGGCAAAGACAUGUAGCAUCUAUAUCAAGUGGUAGGCAGCGAGCAUGUAACGAAGGAAACGUGAUUCUAAGCAUAACAAAGCUAGAAACGGUGUCAAGGACACGGUCAUCUUGCAUGUGGUUUCUUCGGUCUGGAACUGCUUUUGUUCUUCCUGGACGAACUCUCCGGACUCCUCGUACUCGUUUCCGGCCCCGGUAACUACCCAAAAGAAACAACAUCUAAUAAACACCAGCAAAAAAUGAUGCAAUAGACAACAAUAUGCAUGAAUGUACUCCGCCAAACAAGUACAUGAAAACAGCCCUACAUCGAUAAAUCUAUUGCCACCUCAUCACAAGGGGAUUUUUACUGAGAUGCCCAAAACCAGAAAUUAACAACACCAUUGGAUUCACUGGGAUUUUCUACCCCAAAUCCAUAUAUCACACUACCACUUUUGCAUCUAGAAAAACAUCACAAGCAGGAAAAGGAAUCUGACAUAGAAUCAACUACAACAUUAAUUCAAGAACAUGGACUGUUCUUGGGCCAGCCCAAAUUGGCAUAUGCCAGAAUAGGCAAAUUCCUUAUUAGGAAUUAUCCCAAAGAUGGAAUCUAUCACCUCAACAGAAAUAAUAAAGGGGAAAAAUAAAAAUAAAAACACUAAAUCUAACAGCCAUGGCCCACUGGUCAGUGACACAAAACAACAUAUUAACAUUGAAAAACUAAAAGGGAGUGGUGGAGUUAGAACCCACCACCUCUCUAUGCAUCACAGAGGCAAGCACCACUUUGCUAUGCAAAGCUAGUUACUCUAAGAGGGGAGAGAAAAAAAAAACAAAACUUUAAAAGGGCUAGAACCCUGGACCUCUUGCAUUGUGUGCGACUCGGUUGCCACUAGGUUAUACUACGACUACUGACCCAACAGAGCUAACACUUGAGGUAACCUAUAAAUGCAACUACUACAAGAAGGGAAAAACCUCAGGUAAAUAAAAAGGUGGGGGUCUGGGAAUUUAACCCCCGACCUCGUGGUUGUGCACAAGCUAGCAACCAUUACUUAGAGGUUUCCAUUCUCGGGGGAAGCUAGCUUCUACAGCGUAGAGGGACGAUGAUGCUCAAUCCGAACCAAGCUUUGCCUUGGACAUGGCGGUCACGAGAACGAAGCAGGGGCACUGUGGCAGGCGAGGCACGAUAGGGCGGCGAUGCAGCAGUGGAGAGCAGGCUGGCUAACGCGUGCGGGUUGCGGGCGUGCGCUGGAACGGGAGCUCCGUGGGUUCACAGCAAAACAACCGCCGCUUCCUUUACAGAAGAUCUUCUUCAGAGAAGAGAACGGGAGCGCGGCGAGCACAACGAUGUCACGGCUUACAGAAGAUCUACGCUUACGGAUGGCUAGCGACGCGACGGAGAGGGGGAAGGAAGAGGGGGGUCAUACCACCUCACCUAGGGCAUGAAAACGAUGUGGAACGAGGCUUCAGAAGGCGACGGCGAGCUGCUGAAGUCUGGCGCGCAUCCGAACCGGUUCUGCCUGAAGAAGAAGAGGAAGCAGACGACGUCGAGGCGACUCCUUGGGACCCCGCGAGCCGUCGAAGACGGAGAGGAGCACGGGGAGGAUCCCUUCCCGUGCACCAGAGGGCGAGGGAGCGACGGAGAUCAACUCCGGGCCCGAGCUGCUGCUCGGCUGGAGCACGGCGGACGCGGCGACGGCAUGGCGCGAAGCUAUCUUACCUAGCGGCGGCGAGGCGAGGUGGAGGGAGAAAUGGGUCUAGGGAAACUAGGGCAACGUGGGGGACACAACUUAUAGGUGGCUCGGGCUCUCUCCGACCGUCAAAUCGACCGGACGGCUACGUGGCUCCCCUGGAUGGCUGCCGUAUAGAGGAGCACGAAGACUCCACUCAGGGGCUGGCUGGGCUGCGCUGCUAGCUGGGCCUGGGGGAAGAGGGA
This 4877-nucleotide long non-coding RNA is filed under the name Hordeum vulgare. Its description in RNAcentral is "long non-coding RNA (HVUL_LNC015489)". Lineage: Eukaryota; Viridiplantae; Streptophyta; Magnoliopsida; Poales; Poaceae. The record is from RNAcentral.